RNAcentral lists this ribosomal RNA (255 nucleotides) under uncultured bacterium. Its description in RNAcentral is "partial 16S ribosomal RNA". It matches the Rfam family "Bacterial small subunit ribosomal RNA", at positions 524 to 777 of the family's 1533-position model. The record is from RNAcentral.
UACGGAGGGGGCAAGCGUUGUUCGGAAUUACUGGGCGUAAAGGGCGCGCAGGCGGCUGCUCAAGUCAGGCGUGAAAGGCCUGGGCUCAACCCGGGAAUUGCGCUUGAGACUGGGCUGGCUUGAGUGCGGGAGAGGAUGGUGGAAUUCCCAGUGUAGAGGUGAAAUUCGUAGAUAUUGGGAAGAACACCGGUGGCGAAGGCGGCCAUCUGGACCGCAACUGACGCUGAGACGCGAAAGCGUGGGGAGCGAACAGGA